CGGGACGGGUGAGUAACGCGUGGGUAACCUACCCUGUACACACGGAUAACAUACCGAAAGGUAUGCUAAUACGGGAUAAUAUAUUUGAGAGGCAUCUCUUGAAUAUCAAAGGUGAGCCAGCACAGGAUGGACCCGCGUCUGAUUAGCUAGUUGGUAAGGUAACGGCUUACCAAGGCGACGAUCAGUAGCCGACCUGAGAGGGUGAUCGGCCACAUUGGAACUGAGACACGGUCCAA
This 236-nucleotide ribosomal RNA is filed under the name uncultured bacterium. RNAcentral describes it as "partial 16S ribosomal RNA". It matches the Rfam family "Bacterial small subunit ribosomal RNA", at positions 100 to 334 of the family's 1533-position model. The record is from RNAcentral.